UAUGCAAGUGAUGAGAAACAUAGACAGGGACAUCUGCACUCUUCAAGAGGUUGAUGAUUAGUUCUAUGGUAAAUGGGAAUCUCUCUGAUGCAAU
This is a small nucleolar RNA of Zingiber officinale, 94 nucleotides long. RefSeq annotates it as small nucleolar RNA R44/J54/Z268 family. The transcript has a single exon. NCBI's taxonomy places the organism in Eukaryota, Viridiplantae, Streptophyta, Magnoliopsida, Zingiberales, Zingiberaceae. The record is from RefSeq and is a predicted model, not a curated record.